UACGGAGGGUGCAAGCGUUGUUCGGAAUUACUGGGCGUAAAGCGUACGUAGGCGGCGAGUUAAGUCGAAUGUUAAAGCCCGGGGCUCAACCCCGUGGAUGCCUUCGAUACUGGCUUGCUAGAGGGUGAUAGAGGAAAGUGGAAUUCCGAGUGUAGCGGUGAAAUGCGUAGAUAUUCGGAGGAACAUCAGUAGCGAAGGCGACUUUCUGGGUCACACCUGACGCUGAGGUACGAAAGCGUGGGUAGCAAACAGG
Molecule: ribosomal RNA, 253 nt
Filed under: uncultured bacterium
Lineage: Bacteria
Description: partial 16S ribosomal RNA
Rfam family: Bacterial small subunit ribosomal RNA
Source: RNAcentral